UACGUAGGGCGCAAGCGUUGUCCGGAAUUAUUGGGCGUAAAGAGCUCGUAGGCGGUCUGUUACGUCUGCUGUGAAAUCCCGGGGCUUAACCCCGGGCGUGCAGUGGAUACGGGCAGGCUGGAGGCAGGCAGGGGAGAACGGAAUUCCCGGUGUAGCGGUGAAAUGCGCAGAUAUCGGGAGGAACACCGGUGGCGAAGGCGGUUCUCUGGGCCUGUACUGACGCUUAGGAGCGAAAGCGUGGGGAGCGAACAGG
RNAcentral lists this ribosomal RNA (253 nucleotides) under uncultured bacterium. RNAcentral describes it as "partial 16S ribosomal RNA". It matches the Rfam family "Bacterial small subunit ribosomal RNA", at positions 524 to 776 of the family's 1533-position model. The record is from RNAcentral.